GAUGAACGCUGGCGGCGUGCCUAAUACAUGCAAGUCGAGCGAACAGACCAGGAGCUUGCUCCUCCGACGUUAUCGGCGGUCGGGUGAGUAACACGUGGAUAACCUACCUAUACGACUGGGAUAACUUCGGGAAAUCGGAGCUACUACCGGAUAAUAUAUUGAACCGCAUGGUUCAAUAGUGAAAGACGGUUUUUCUGUCACUUAUAGAUUGAUCCGCGCUGCAUUAGCUAGUUGGUUAGGUAACGGCUUAGCAACGCAACGAUGCGUAGCCGACCUGAGAGGGAGGACGGCUACACGGGAUGUGAGGCUGAGCACAGACACCGACGGGAGGCAGCAGUAGGGAAUCUUACGCGAUGGAGGAAUGCCGAACAGAGGAACGUGGCGUGAAUGAUGAAGGAGUUAGGAUCGUAGAACUCUGUUAUUAGUAAAGUACAAAUGUGUUAGUAACUGUGCUCAUAAUGACAGUACCUGGACAAAAAGCUACGGCUAACUACGUG
Molecule: ribosomal RNA, 497 nt
Filed under: uncultured bacterium
Lineage: Bacteria
Description: partial 16S ribosomal RNA
Rfam family: Bacterial small subunit ribosomal RNA
Source: RNAcentral